AUACUCUGGCUUCUCUUCAAAUCGUAUAACUCUUUCGCCUUUUACUAAAGAUUUCCGUGGAGAGGAACAUUUACGAGUUAACAAUUUUUUUUGAUGCCCUGUUUUUACAGGGCU
This is a small nuclear RNA of Acipenser ruthenus (sterlet), 114 nucleotides long. RefSeq annotates it as U5 spliceosomal RNA. Lineage: Eukaryota; Metazoa; Chordata; Actinopteri; Acipenseriformes; Acipenseridae. The record is from RefSeq and is a predicted model, not a curated record. The transcript has a single exon.